GCAAACUUGGUCAUUUAGAGGAAGUACAAGUCGUAACAAGGUUACCGUAGGUGAACCUGCGGUAGGAUCAUUAACAAAUCCAGGGGGAUGCUAUGCUCCCCAUCUGUUCCGGCGGAGAUGCGCUGUGGCGUUCUCUGCCGUGUUCGACGUGCUCUGCACAAGUAUGUAGGUCGGGAUGAGAAAUGUGUGUGGGAACAACAAAACAACUUUCAACAAUGGAUCUCUGGGCUCUUGCAUCGAUGAAGAACGCAGC
RNAcentral lists this unclassified non-coding RNA (253 nucleotides) under uncultured fungus. RNAcentral describes it as "partial contains small subunit ribosomal RNA, internal transcribed spacer 1, and 5.8S ribosomal RNA". The stretch from base 1 to 73 matches the Rfam family "Eukaryotic small subunit ribosomal RNA", at positions 1759 to 1831 of the family's 1831-position model. Lineage: Eukaryota; Fungi. The record is from RNAcentral.